Molecule: RNA transcript, 1158 nt
Organism: Canis lupus familiaris (dog)
Lineage: Eukaryota; Metazoa; Chordata; Mammalia; Carnivora; Canidae
Exons: 7
Source: RefSeq, a predicted model, not a curated record
UCCAAAGCUGGUCAGUUGAAAGGCACGUUUAGAGCUCAGGAGAUGAAGUCUUGGGUUACCCAGCCCUGGCAAAAGUAUCUUGCAGCCUAGGGGGCUGGGAGGAUGCCUGGAUGUCCCACCUGUUUAGGCCACAGGGAUUCCAAAGAAAUCCAGCAAGGCUUGUGCAGGUGGCAAAAGGCAAAAACACAGGUAGAAGAAAAUAGGGAGGGGAAGAAUAUGCCCACCAGGAAGAAGUUCCUGACACCCCAUAAGUGGGAUGGCACCUCUCCUCUGCAGGCCCAGAGGUGUCCUGCACUUGUCUCCACUGCACCAGGAUCGGGCUAUUGUAAUAGGCUGCUUACUUACUUUCUUUACCACUAUAUUCCUCAUCAAGGGUACACAGCUGCUGUUGCACCAUCUGCCUCAGAUAUAGCUAGUGUCGAAAGUAUCCUUGCCCUUACUUCCUGGAAGAAAACUCUGGGACUACAGGAGCCAGCUGACUUCCAUGCCCCACAGUGCCUCAUGCUUGCAAAAAGGCUGCUGUGGAUCCAGAUACCAUAUUUAUAUAAAAGCCCAUUUUGUACUCCUUUUUUCUGCACUGGAGAAGCAGCUACUGGAAGCAGGGUUAGAACAAGCUUGACCACAGGAUUGCAAAGAAUCACUGAAGUGGUGUUUGCAUUAGUCCCAAGUGCUGGCCACCUCAUCUCAACUCUCCCUAGAGGAAGAGACCCUGUAAGUCCCAAGGACACAUCCGGAAGAGUAUUGUGGAGAGUGAGCCAGGUGGGUUCCUGCUGUUCCUUCCUGGAGAAGGGAAGCAAAGGGGCAGAUCUAUGAAGCACAGAAGAUUUGGGACAGAAUCACAGAGCCCAGAAAGCACAGCCACAAGCUGAGAAUCCUCUCUUUGGUAUUGGAAGACAGGUGUCACAAAAAUAGCGGCAUAGGGAGCUCCAAGUAUCUAUCCCUCCACUGAAGAAAACGUUAAGCUGGCAAAAACAUUCAGAAUCAGGAAUGUAAUAAAAAGAAGACUCGCAACAACCAGGGGAAUGAAUGAAGCAGCAGCUGCUAAAUUUUAGUAAGAGCAUGUGGCAUUUUUCUUAUCCACCCACCAUCCCCCAAACCCUAACUUGGCCAGCAGCCAUGGCGAUGGACUCAUAUCCCUGGUGGGACAGCUUGCUAAUG